AGAGGGAGGAAAGGAGCAGCCAAGGCGAAGAUUAAACGGCAGCUAACCACCAGGUCCUCCACCUCCCGCCUCAACUGCCCCUUUCUUCCCUCUGUGGUAACCUGAGGGGGAGCACCAGCGAGGGAAGAGCAGGGGAAGGCCAGCAGCACAGUGGUGGCUGAGCCAUCUUGUCAUCAUAGCAGGACAAGCAUUUUCAACCGUGUCCUCCGUACCCUCCCAUCUUAUUCUAGACACUGUGCUGCCCUCCACUGAAACCCAUCAAAACCUCUCUGCUUGGCCCCCAUCCCCACCCCUUGUUGGAAGAGUGCUCUCUGCUGGUGUCUUUUCUCUUUUAAAGGGCAGAGAUGAGUCCCGGGCUCUGCGGUCUUUUCAGGCGUCCAAAUUAAUUUGCGUCUGGUCAGCAGCGUAAGCAGCACGGGGCUAUUUGAUGAGGGUGUAGGGCAAUGACAUGCACUGGCAGUCAUGCCUUGAUCUCUUGCUUUCUUUCCUUGUCACUUUCC
Molecule: long non-coding RNA, 500 nt
Organism: Poecilia latipinna (sailfin molly)
Lineage: Eukaryota; Metazoa; Chordata; Actinopteri; Cyprinodontiformes; Poeciliidae
Exons: 3
Source: RefSeq, a predicted model, not a curated record